AGGCCAUUUUGGUCUUUUUACAUCUCCUACUCAUCCUUAUCCCUCCCAGCUCGACCCUGAGGUUGUAUUACACUUAGAAACUCAGGAAAAAACAGGUUUUAGCUAUCCUCUUUCUCUCUCUAGGGUUUGGAGCUCAAGAGAGCUUGGUGUAGUGGUUUCGGCUUUUUCGACGUGAUUUCCUUGCGCUAGCUGGUUUGGUGGGAUUUGGAGGAGCUCUCUUGUUGUGAACUGUUGGAGGUGAAGGUUCUCUUGCUGCCCAACUUAGUUGGAACCUGAUUUGCAUUAAGCAGGUUGUGGCAAAUAUUUUAUCAUCUUGAGAAGGAUUAGGGUGCUGUGGAGUCUUCACUUUAGCUCAGGGAGGAGCUGAUUUGUGACUUAAUCAGGUAAUUAGUCCACUUAUAGAAGUUUUAGCAUGUUUGACGAGGUCGAGGUGUUGAUUUUGGAUGUAGUGAUCGCAGCAGCAGUAAAUGUCGCUUAGUGCUGAGUUUGGGACUCCGUAAGCUGAAUUGAAAGGUACUUUCAUUGGUGCGUAUCGCGAUUGUGGACUGAUUGGUUCUUGGCUGUAUUUGAAGGCUUUCAGAGGGUUAAACUUAGAGUUUAAUCGGAUCCAAAACAGGGAACUAAGCUACUCCACGAUUUAAGGUCUGAGCUAAGUUUUGAGAACACCUAGCUUCCUUAUUGAGCUCACUCAAUUUCCUUUGUUCUAGGGGAUUGAGAGACGUUGGACUUGGUUGAUCGAGAGCUUCCCUUAAUAGAGCCUUCCACCGCGGGAAAGGCUAGGGUUCUUGGCGAGG
Long non-coding RNA from Ananas comosus (pineapple), 794 nucleotides. RefSeq lists it as uncharacterized. The record is from RefSeq and is a predicted model, not a curated record. The transcript is spliced from 6 exons. Lineage: Eukaryota; Viridiplantae; Streptophyta; Magnoliopsida; Poales; Bromeliaceae.